CCUACGGGUGGCAGCAGUGGGGAAUAUUGGGCAAUGGGCGCAAGCCUGACCCAGCAACGCCGCGUGAAGGAAGAAGGCUUUCGGGUUGUAAACUUCUUUUAAGAGGGAAGAGCAGAAGACGGUACCUCUUGAAUAAGCCACGGCUAACUACGUGCCAACAGCCGCGGUAAUACGUAGGUGGCAAGCGUUGUCCGGAUUUACUGGGUGUAAAGGGCGUGUAGCCGGGCUGACAAGUCAGAUGUGAAAUACGGGGGCUCAACCCCCGAACUGCAUUUGAAACUGUUGGUCUUGAGUAUCGGAGAGGCAGGCGGAAUUCCUAGUGUAGCGGUGAAAUGCGUAGAUAUUAGGAGGAACACCAGUGGCGAAGGCGGCCUGCUGGACGACAACUGACGGUGAGGCGCGAAAGCGUGGGGAGCAAACAGGAUUAGAUACCCCUGUAGCC
Molecule: ribosomal RNA, 442 nt
Filed under: uncultured bacterium
Lineage: Bacteria
Description: partial 16S ribosomal RNA
Rfam family: Bacterial small subunit ribosomal RNA
Source: RNAcentral